Molecule: ribosomal RNA, 483 nt
Filed under: uncultured bacterium
Lineage: Bacteria
Description: partial 16S ribosomal RNA
Rfam family: Bacterial small subunit ribosomal RNA
Source: RNAcentral
AUUGAACGCUGGCGGCAGGCCUAACACAUGCAAGUCGAGCGGAUGAAGGGAGCUUGCUCCUGGAUUCAGCGGCGGACGGGUGAGUAAUGCCUAGGAAUCUGCCUGGUAGUGGGGGAUAACGUCCGGAAACGGGCGCUAAUACCGCAUACGUCCUGAGGGAGAAAGUGGGGGAUCUUCGGACCUCACGCUAUCAGAUGAGCCUAGGUCGGAUUAGCUAGUUGGUGGGGUAAAGGCCUACCAAGGCGACGAUCCGUAACUGGUCUGAGAGGAUGAUCAGUCACACUGGAACUGAGACACGGUCCAGACUCCUACGGGAGGCAGCAGUGGGGAAUAUUGGACAAUGGGCGAAAGCCUGAUCCAGCCAUGCCGCGUGUGUGAAGAAGGUCUUCGGAUUGUAAAGCACUUUAAGUUGGGAGGAAGGGCAGUAAGUUAAUACCUUGCUGUUUUGACGUGACCAACAGAAUAAGCACCGGCUAACUUCGU